This is a long non-coding RNA of Bacillus rossius redtenbacheri, 4076 nucleotides long. RefSeq lists it as uncharacterized. The transcript is spliced from 2 exons. NCBI's taxonomy places the organism in Eukaryota, Metazoa, Arthropoda, Insecta, Phasmatodea, Bacillidae. The record is from RefSeq and is a predicted model, not a curated record.
UGAUGCUUUAGUUUUCUUCAUUUCACCAGUGGCAGCCAUUGUCUUUACAAUCAAAUAUGUGUAAAUAUUAAAAUUUUCUGUCAGUCUAUUAAAACUCUGUGGCUGUAUGUGCUGGGCUACAGAUGCUUUAAAGUUCUAUGUGUCAACGAGCUAUCAGGAUUUCAAAUACCGGUUAAAUGUUACUGUGCUGCUUUCUUGCAAACAGUAAGACUACAGGGCUGUCCAACAUAAGUAGAGUUCUUUUGAUAGCAGUCAUGUAAAUAUUUAUUCAACCAGAAGAGGCAUGUCCAUCCCUUCCCUUUUCUUUUUUAUGAUCCUCUGGCUCCACCACUUGAUACAGUAAAAGACUUUAAUCCGGCAUGUCUGUAUCAUGGUCGUGCCCUAUUAGCGAUAUUGCGGAAUUACUGUACGUCAAUACAGUUCAAACAAAAUAUGGCAGAUAAUCAAAGAUUAACUAACAACCUGUCCUGGCUUCGCAUGAUGCGAACUACUAAUGUGGCGUUUUUCUAUUUAAUAAUUAAGUAGGUACUUAUAACUACCAAAUUUUUGUAAGUAUCUGGUGUUUGCAAAAAUUAUAUACCUACUUUGUAAACAAUGUUUAUGCCUUUUUUUUUACUCAUGAGACAACACAAACAGAUUUUGAUCAGAAGUCAACAUACAAAAGGGCUAUAAAUAAUGGUGAAAAUCGCAUCAAAGUAAGAAUUAGAAUAAGUACCUAAGCGAACGAACAGACAUACACAGAUAGAGACUUUUUUUAUACCAUGUCUCCUGAAUAACUUACCAUGUAAGAGCAAAAAUUAUUUUAAUUGUAACCAUAAGAAAAACUAUAAAAUGUCUAACUUUAAGUAAGCGGUGAGUGUGAAGUCCUCUUUCAGUGGUUCAUUGCUAGAAAAUAAGAAGUGUUACUAUCAGAACAUGAGUAAUUUUUCCUAGCAAACAAAAUUUCACCAUGGACAGAAAUAGUCACAAUAUUCUAGUGUUUAGUCAUUGAGACUGAUUUCUUUGAUGCACAUGCAAAGUUUAUUUUUCUUCUUACAAUAAAGAAUAAUUCAUAAAGGUUAUAAUUUGUUUCAGUAGUUAGAAGUCUUAGAAAUAAAGUCACAUAAGAGAGCUAAUACAAAACCUCUCAGGCAUAAAAAAAACACGUGAACCAAACUGUGCCUGGCCAACUUCAUGUGUGUUGCAAUGUAAUUUACCUGCAAUCAGUUUAGCAUUACGUGUGGGAACGGAGGGCUAACUGAGACAUAACCUUACUGCCAAAAGCCAGGUCAUCUCUACUAGCAAUCUAUGUGGCGUGUAAACUUGUGGCAAGCGUGUCAUUGACUUUAAUUUAAUUAGGCUUGCAGUGCAAGUCUAACACAACAGGCAUGAUUCAAACUUAGAUUUCAGGCUGAUACUUAUGCAUACUUGCCAAAGGCUUGGAUAUUUUUUAAAAUAUUUUUUAUCUGAAACUAACCACACCUUAACCCAACCUAACCGAACCUAACCUGACCUAACGUAACCUACUUUAGGAAGCGUAAACUUUCUUCCAAACCUAUAUAUUUAUUUAGGUAUUUCCUUUUGUGGAGCUAUAAUAAUAAUAAUAGCUAUGUGUGUGCUUUCAAAUAAAUUCCUACUUGGGCUUGAAGGAAAUGGCCACACUUGGAGUACCAAAUUAAUAUGUGCAGAGAACUAUAGGAGUUUAAGGUCACACUAGGGUAGCCAAAUAAGUAUGUAGAGUUAUUUCCUACUUAGGCUCCAUACACACACUAAAACGUUGGGCUGAAUAAAAACUGUGUAAUAAAUUUUAUUUCUUAAAUAGUGUGACUCUCCAUUGGUAGUGUUGAUAUAAGGUAAGUCACAGUUAGGUGUUACUUGAUUGAUUAGGAACAUACAUAAAUACACACUGGAGUAGGUGAAAUAGCAAAUGACAUAACACAACACUUUGAAUAUAUAAAAUAUAUGAUUAUUUUAUUCCAAUGUAAAAACCGAUUUAAAAGAUUUCAAUCUUAUUAAUAUAUUUAAUUAUUAUUCAUAUUCGAAACAACAACCUAACUUAACAGUGACAUCAUAGGAAUUCAAUAAAAGUUCAAUUACCAGGAGUUAUGUUGCGCACAUUUAAAUAUUUUCAAAAGUCUUAAUUCGGGUUCGUUGACACUACACAGUUUUUAAUUAAUGUUUUUAGGGAACUUAAAAUCAAUUUACCUCGGCUAGUUAGGUUCAGAUAGUUCAUCGGCAGAGCUCAGAGCCUCUCAUCUAUAGGACCACUGAGUCUGUUAAAUAGUGUGUAAAUCGUAAAAUUUAUGUCCAAUUAUUAUUUAAAUCAUCUAUAAAGUCAAUUUAAUUCAUGAAAUCAAUAUUUAUAAUAAGUUUCGGCGGCGAUGUGACGUAAAAACGGGAGUUGCGUGAUUCGUGCAUAAGAUUAGGGCACAAAAUCUGGGCACUUUUAUUACUCACGUUAUUCACUCCUAUGUUAUUUAUCUUUUUAGAUAAAUCCUAUUUAAAUAUUCUGAACUCCUUAAUGGUUCAUAAUUAUCAUCCUCUAUCCGGGAUGCCUGAUGCUAAAUAGCUAAUUUUCAGGAUUUAAAAUCGCCGACGUCACGAAGUUGCCGCUCAUUCCGCUGGCCAUUAAGAACUCUCCUUCUUACUAGUUUCUCAAAUAAACCAGUAAGACUCAACUUUUAAAUGGUGACCCGUGAUUGGCCAAAAGAACCAAUUCUGUUACUUAAUUUCUUACCGAAAACGUGAACUCCGAACGCAACAAUUGCGCGGAUAACAAAAUUUCACUUACAUUUUAAAUAAACAAAUACCAAAAUAAUAAUUUACAUUAUAAAUAAACAGCGUUAAUUUUACCGUUUACAGUUUCCAAGUCCAUUAGUCCUUAGAGGGGUAUCAACAAUACAUCGUUCAAAUAGUCCGGUAAAAAUCCAAAGAAUCAAUUUUCCAUAGACAUACAUAACAAAAUAUUGCCGUUUCUGAAAAUAAAUAAUAUUAUACAUAGAGCAAACAAAAUAAAAUAAAUCGUAAAUAAUAAUAAAUAAUUAAACUGUCAAAACAAACAUGUUGCAGUACAGAUUUUGCCGCCCUUGUCAAUUACAUUGAACAGUGCUCUUUGACCUGUUCAAAACGAUGCAAUGUGAUUGGCACUUCCCUUUCUCCGUCGCACAAUACACAACACUCUUCGUUGCCUAGCAACGUGCGCACAAAACGACAAACAAAAAAAACAACUUGAGAGAGACUACCUCUCCUCCUGGAUUCGUUUUUUUACCGUUGCGCAACUGAAAAUCGCGCCUUUUUAAACACUUUCCGUCGGGUCGUCGCUGCUAACAGACCUGCGCGAAGAAGUUCACGGAUUUUGCAGUGCAAAAUCUUCGAAGGCGGGAACUGCUGCUGCUCUCCGAUUGCUUCUGCCUUGAGCCGCUCCUGUUGAGAGGGACUCGGGAGGACUUACUUACUGUCACGUCACGGCAGUGGGUCAACGUCCACCUGCGGUGAUGACUGCAUCCUUGCUGCGACUCCUCCUUCCUGCAGCGGACAGCGGCGUCGAGACGGCGCCUGUCCUCAAAACGACCAACAAACCUGGCCUGGUUCACCACGCGUCGACAGGGUCUGGCGUGGGGCGAUGAUGCUGUACCAGACAGCACGGCAUCUGGCACUGCAGCUGACGUCAUCAACUGCUGAUGUGGCGGCAUACAGCCGCCCUGCCUCACGACUACGCGCGAGACGGCGUCGUGGCGUCUGCGGUGCUGAUUGCGUGGGGCGAGGUCACCACUUCCCACAAGGAAGCACUCGUCUAUUCCCAUCACUGUUAGGUACACAAUCGUUGCGAACCGCACUAUGUCUAGCUCACUCUGGUGUAACCUCCGCACCUGACUUAAGUAUAGGUGUCCGGGUCUUAAUCAAUAACUUAAUCACUAUGUGCGUACUUGUACUCUUGCAAAUACAAGUGUCUGCAGGCAAUACAACUUGUGUACUUGCCGCGGAACCCUAUGAUGUCAGUGUUAAAACAAAAAUAUCUUAAAUUAACCUUAAAAUUCCUAACUUAACAUAUAACCUUCACAUUAUUAACAUCAUUGUUAGAACAAAAAAUAAAUAAA